This 534-nucleotide ribosomal RNA is filed under the name Rectilamina australis. Its description in RNAcentral is "partial large subunit ribosomal RNA". The record is from RNAcentral. Lineage: Eukaryota; Metazoa; Arthropoda; Insecta; Hemiptera; Schizopteridae.
GUUUAGGGGUAAACAGAAAAGAAUUGAAAAUCCGAAAAGGAAGAUUCAAGUCCUCUCGCUUCAAAUACUAUGCUAGUCAUAUUUUAUUUUUAGGAUGACUAUUUGGCCUUUGCAUUUUUUUAAAGUGUAUAUGUUGCUGAUAGUUGCCUUAAUUUAAUAUUGAGUAGCAGCGGUGGACCGCACUUCUUCCUUAGUAGGACGUCGCGACCCACUAAACAGUGUAGUCUAUAUGUAAGCUAAAGUCUGUUUUUCAUUUAAAAGAAAUUUUAAAUUUGGGAAAGCAGGUUGCUUAUUAUAAAAGACUAAUAUGUUGGUGGUAUAAAAUGACAGUGGUGAGCCGUCUUUAUUAAAAGCGUUUAAUAUAAUGCUCAAUUGACAGAAAAUUUUUAUUAGAGUUUUUUAAUUCUAAUAUAAUUUUUUCCAUAUUUUAAAAAAUAUAAGUCAAUUGUAGCUUUUAUUAUAUUUAAACUGAGUUCACAACACUUGUCGGCGGCGCUACAGUUUCAGUAACUUUUCUGACCCGUCUUGAAACAC